AUACAUAUUUAUAAAACAUUAAAAAGAGCAUUGGUAGUUCAAGCAUCACUUCUUUUUCUCCCUCCCCCACUCCCCCCACACAGAAAGGAAAAAUAAUAAUAAUUAAAAACAACAAAAGAAAGUACACAUUUUAAAAUUCAAAAUGAGCUAGCAAUGGCUUAUAGUCCUAGGUGUGCAAUAUGGAUUUUACAAAAGGCUAGAAUGCUCCAUUGUAAGUUGUCCUCUCUGUAUAAUGUGUGUUUUAAGAUCUAGGGCCAUUUAGAGAAAGCUUUUUUUCAUGUCAUUUUAUAUUUUUUUUGCCACCCUGAAAUAGGUUUCUCUUUCAAGACGUGUGAGUUUUGGAUUUUUAAAAUCCCUCCUCCCACUUUUUGUCUUUCUGAGGCAAAAGGGGUCUCCUUCGGAUUCAGAUGUUUUUGCUUUUCAAACAACUCCCCUUCCUCCUCCUUGGGGCUGGUGCUCCCUUUUUCUGAUUCUAGUGUUCAGCACUUGAUUUUAAAAAACCAUGACCUCCCUAUCCGGUCACUGCAGCUGGUCUUAGACCCGGCCUUCAGGUCAAAAGGACAUUUCACAAGCUGCUCAGGCCAUGGGCCGCGUCCCUCAACCCCUGGUGUCUCGCAUUCGGUGCGGAGGCCUUAGCAGCCUCUGUGUGUGAGAGAGAGAAACAUAAUGUUCAUCGGCCACUUUUUAGUCAUCCUGCAUUUUCAUCCACCCCAACUUCAGUCUGGGGACUGAAAAAGGAUAGCUAUUUCUGACCAAAUGUGAUUCCACAUAGGGACUGUAUGGCAUACUGCUAGGAGGAGGGGGGGGGAAACAAGCUUAUUUCUUAAGAAAUGGUGGCCUGUCAUUCUCUAAAUGACGGUGCUUCCCCACUUUGGGUCCCCAGAUGUUCUUGGACGACAACUCCCAGAAAUCCUGGCCCCAGCGCACAUCUGGGGGCAAAGGCUUCUGGGAGUUGUAGCCCAGGAUCACCUGGGUCCCAAGGUGGGGAGCCCCUGCCCUCAAAUGACCUCCUCAGAUCCAUUACUGCAAGUUACACUUGCUCUGAGCUUGGAAAGCCCGUCCCAUGACGUCCUCCUCUCAUCCCUGCACACAUUAAGUGCUGCUUCUUGAAACUGGAGGUGUCUCGGGGUGCUGUGGAUCACAUAUAUUUUUAAAUUAAUGUUUUGUUACUUUUUUAAGUAGAGGAAAAGAGACGGGAGGCUUGCACAUUUGGGAACAGGCCAGAGGGGAUCCACCCACACCUCUUCACUUGGUUUUAACCCACAAAACGUUUGGCUAGAAGAGGGGGGGAGUUUGGGGCCACGGGGGAGAAACGGCUACUGGGUGAGUAAGCCUGGAAUAACAAGCCCUCUUCCGUGCCCCCUACUAUGUAGUCACUGACCAAGUGACAAGAUCUGCUGGGAGCUUUUAUUGCAACAGCGAAUGCACAAGAAGCAAGAAGCACCAGAGGGUUGCAAAACCCCGUCCACACACCUCCACCGUGGCUGCUGCUCAGAGGGUCUCUAGGGUGUCUGGGAGCUACUAACGUCAGUCAGAUGUUACAGGGAAGCCCCCCACCAUCCGUUAACAUAUUCACAGAGUAGUUUUAAACCUUGCCUCCCCCGCCGUUUGCACAGCAUCACAGGUUCCCACAAAGCACCUUUUGGUGAGCGACAGUCCGCCUGAUCUUCUGACUAACGACUCCCCGAUUCUCCUUCCCCAUUUUACUACAGUUAAGGAGGGCUGGAAUAAAAUCUCCCUGUGCUAGUCAGAUAGUUUUGAAUGCCACACAACUGUUGGUCUGACUCUUUAUUUUUUCCUCUUCUCCCUCUCCCCCCCCCAUGCCCCAUCUUCCUUUUUGGUAAGGUGCCCCCCUCCCUCUCUCUGAAGUGGCGAGACCCAUCGCUUUGUCUGAAAAGCUGUCGAGGGCGAGACCUGGCCCUGGCCUGGGUGCCGACGAUCCUCAACACCCUACCAAGGUGUUCAGAGGACCACUGUCCCCCUCGACAAACGCUCAGAGGACUGCAGCCUCUUGGACCCUGUCCUGUGGUGGCUUUGCUCAAAGGGACCCGAAGGCCUCCAGCGUAGUGCUUUCCGCCAGCUAGGACAGCGCGUGUGGAAGAACGCUGCACCCCCUGCCGAAGUCUUGGAGGUAAGAGCACCCCCUGGAAGCAUGCUUGGUUUGCCCUGUCCCUCCCCACGUCCUCCUUCACCCCCUGCUCACCCUGGGCCUUCCAGUCAAGGCCACAAGCCAAGGGGAAAGAGUGGGCAGGAAAAGGUCUCUAGGAAGAAUUGGUGGCCCCUGGAUUGGAGCAGGGAGGCCGAGAGGCCCGGGCGGGAAAUACCUAUAGAUCUGGGAAGCGAACGGCCAGGGACUCUUUUGGUUUGGGCGGCUGGUUAAAUCUGAGCCUCUCUUUCACACCGGAGGAAUCUUUUCAGCAUCAACCCCCCACCCCUGUGUUUCACCGCCCCUGCUAUGGAAUCAGAGCCUCGCACCAGGAAGGGACCGUUCCACUUGGGUGGGAACACUGCAAUAUAAAUAAGUUUUCUUCCUUUAAAAAAAGAGAUUAUUAUUAUCAUUAUUAUUAUUAAUAUUAUUAUUAUCCUUUAGUAACAAAGAGGACCUGGAAGAUCAGGAAACUGCCCUCCCACUUCUAUGCCCUGUUCAAUUCAUUAAUGCUUCUCUCUGUUUAUUUUUUUUUAAACAAAAAGCAAAAAAACAAAAAACAAAACCCUCAAACGGACAAUAAAUACCCCAUUUCCCAACCAUUCCCAAGCUGCCUGAGACCCCCUGUUUCUCCCGUUCAUUUGAUGCUGGAGAAAGGAAAAAAACCAAAACAGAAGAAUGAGCGAGAGCAGGACCCCCUAACCCUCACUGACCCCGUGGCCCAGAUGGCGAAGGACGUCUUCGCCUUGGGCUUUCAGGACCACCCCUAACCAGUCGCCCCUGGACGCUAGCGGCCCCCACCCACCCCCUCCGCGGGACUGGGAAGAGUGUUAAAGGAUAGAUAGACACAGGGGGAAUAAUGGAGCUGGGGGGGGAAGAGACCGCUCUGCCCCCAGCCAAAGGUUUGGGGAGGGGGGGAGAGCACAUCCGUCAAGGGAAAGGACGGCUUCUUCAGGGCCCAACCCAUCUGCGCAAUGGUAAAACGUUUGGCCAUCUGCCACCCUGUAAACAUGUGCGUCCCAACAGGUGGGUCCCUCUGUCCUGCCCCUGCACGGGUGCUUUCCGGGGUGUGCGUGGGUGUGAGGGUGGGUGUUUGUUCCUUCCUUCCUUCUUUCUUUCCUCCUCCUGUUUUUUUUGCAUGGUCCAAAGAUUCAAGGUUUCCCCUUUUGUCAUCUUGUGCACUUUCUGGGGCGGAGUUGGACAGGUUUCGUUUUCCCGCUUGCCAUUCUACCAUUUGUUCUCGCCUCACACAGUGGAGUCCUCUCAGUUAAUUCAGUUCCUGUUUUGUUUGUUU
Non-coding RNA from Pogona vitticeps (central bearded dragon), 3440 nucleotides. The record is from RefSeq and is a predicted model, not a curated record. NCBI's taxonomy places the organism in Eukaryota, Metazoa, Chordata, Lepidosauria, Squamata, Agamidae.